RNAcentral lists this unclassified non-coding RNA (344 nucleotides) under Hevea brasiliensis (rubber tree). The record is from RNAcentral. Lineage: Eukaryota; Viridiplantae; Streptophyta; Magnoliopsida; Malpighiales; Euphorbiaceae.
GCCCAACUUGCUAUUCUAAAAAAAAACAGAGACAACCAGAAAAGAGGAAAACUAAGCUAGCAAUCUAAAAAGCAAACUGAUGAAUGGCUUGCAUAGUUUUCUGGCUGGCCAUAAACACAGCUAAUAUAAGCAAUCUCCCUGGCUAGACAUCCCCAAGUUCUGCCUUCCUUCUCGAAGAUUCUGUGAUUCCUCCCAACCCAAAUCGCAUAGACAUACUCAGUAUACACUGUCUAGUUUAUAGAUCUACCAAGUUAAUUUCAACUUAUACAGAUUAUCAACUAAUCUUCAUCCAGAGAUUUAUCUAUACUUACUUAAUUAAUAAAUCUGUAAUUACUUAAUUGAUA